Long non-coding RNA from Gadus morhua (Atlantic cod), 2388 nucleotides. RefSeq lists it as uncharacterized. The record is from RefSeq and is a predicted model, not a curated record. The transcript has 2 exons. Lineage: Eukaryota; Metazoa; Chordata; Actinopteri; Gadiformes; Gadidae.
CUUACACCUGGAGAGUUUGCCACCUCUGAAUGGAAAGUUGUUGAAGUCAGAUGUCACUUCCAGAUUUAACCAAUUCAUUUUAAUUGAUCAUCCCUCAAAUCCCUACUAAGAAAGUAGCAAAUAAUAAUGGAGCGUUGCAGUAGAGGUUCCUGGCCGAGCUCAGCAGGGAGGCAAACAUGAAGGCGCGUUCAUGAACGUGCGCAGUGCACCCGCACAUGCAUGUCUUUUCUAAAGCGUAGGCCUACACAACUUUUUAAAAAAAACUCGUCUGCGCGUCGUGUGGAGGCGCAUUAGAGAGGAUCAUAACUUAAAACGACACACUUAACAUUGUGUCAGCAGAGUGCAAUGCUUCUAAACUUUUAAUCAAACGUGCAGACAAAGUUCAACUCGUGCUGCUUAAAUGUAAUGCAAAUGAGCCUUCUAGUCAGUUGCCGCACAAGUCAAGGCGGCAACUGAAGGCUCAUUUGCUUAGAACUUUAAAAAAAUAAAUAGAUUUAUGAUUGGUUGCAAUUGGUUGCCUAACAUGGUAAUUAAUUAAUUUUGAAUUGGAAUUGGAAUUUGAAUUGAAUGAGGUUGAUGAUUUGCCUCGCAACAGUGAAACUGAAUUGUGAUUGGUUAUUUUUUAUUCUCCAAGACUGCAAAAGUGAGUUUUGGCCUCUUUGCCUCCCUUCAGUGGCUAUACCUGGACCAGAGUAACGUCGGCCAGCCUCCUUUCUUGCAAAGGCCCUUGGCUAUUUAUUUAUUUUCAACAUUUUCAUGCAAUUAUUCAGUAAUAAACACACAUUGCACAUGGAUAAUUUUGAAAAAUAAAUAUUUUUUAAUAAUAAUUUCAUAAUCACGUAAAUCUUUUUUUUGGAAAAUCACGAAGAGGCAAUGGAGCGGUGUCGAAAUGAUGGAACUACUUUCCUCAGCGUAUCAAAAGAUAUGCGCUCUGGUCUCCAUCCGUCACUACAGGUGCGGCAGCGGAAGUGUUUCUUCACUUCACCAGCGGGCCAGUGAGACGGGCCACGCGGAGCAGAGGUGAACAUCACGAGGCGGCGGAGUCUCCUCAUAUGUUUGAUUGAAUGUCUCUGGUGUUCUUGUCUUGCUUUCAAUAAUCUUUGAUCUGACCAUUAGGCCUGCGCUUGUUUAAAUCCCUGAAAUACUAUUUAUUUACUGGUUGGGUUCACUCUGCAUUACAAUUCAAGUUUAUUUGUUGAAGAUUAUGUAGGACCCGAGUUAGUUUGAACUUAUUUAGCAGGUCAAGUAUUAUAUAACGGUAUUAUAUAUUUGGGUCGUAUUGAAGACUUAAACCAACAAUCCCAGAGACCGACGUCCUUUCCGCCUCUCUGAUCUCCGUGUUCAGGAUUUAAUUUCAUAAUUAGAAACUAUAGGUUCAGGAUACGAUUUUAAUAUAAUUACAAACUAAAGGUUCGGUUUUCAUGGUAGUUAACUCAUUACGCACGGCUCCUCCGUGAAUAACGCGCCACUGGUGCAUGGGAGAUAUCACGUUGGUCAGAUAAACGAAGUCGUAAUCACAACAGUCGAUAUCAAGACGUGCACCCAACCCCCUCAACUCACUCACCCGGAGAAAAUUCAAACUGUGGGUCCGGGCCAUACCCUUCUUGGGAAUUUCAUUUUUCUACCGGAGGAGGCUACAUGUUCCACACAAAGUAACUAGAGGACUCACCGAUCGAGGCGUCGGCACAGCGGCCUUGUCCCGCUAGGGCGCACAACACGAGGAGACCUCCGAGCAGCUGCAUUUGGACCGGGUUCAGUGGGCUUCCUUUGGGCUGGUGGACCUGAUGGUUUAAUAACGCCUGAAGUUAAUCACUGACCUGCUUUUUCUGCAGGAAGUGAAAUGCAUCCAUUAUCGAUCCAACAUUACCAAUUAACAUUCCACCUGUUCUCAAAUCAAUGUUCUCCAUGUGAUGAAAAACUAAAAGAACUGGCUUACAUUUUUAGGUUUAAUAAAAUGGAUAGAAAUAUAGUGCGGUGUGUUACCAUGCGAGGAGGGACGGACGAGAAUACGCGUGUGGGUGUGAGAGAUGCUCUGGUCUGAGUCCACCUGCGCUUUUAUAGCUGGAGGUGGGGCGCGACCCCGCCUCUUUGACCUCCCGUCCCUUGCAACAGACCGGCAUGCAGAUAAGCGCAGACGCGUAGACUUUAUUUAUGGAAUAUAUAUUGAGUACAUUUUUUUUUUUUUUUCAGAGACCUAUAUCAAUAGGGACGGCACGUGACGUUACAUCGCAAUAAAUUAUAUAUUGUUGAUGUAUUUGCAUUGUAUAUUGUGUAUGUAUUGUUGUGUUUGCUUUGCAUUUGUUUUACUCGAUGUUAUGCAAAUGAGGGUCAACCCUCAACUGAUUUUUCCGAGAAUAAAUAAAGUAAAAAAAUUAAAUAAAAAAAUAA